Molecule: ribosomal RNA, 270 nt
Filed under: Triticum aestivum (bread wheat)
Lineage: Eukaryota; Viridiplantae; Streptophyta; Magnoliopsida; Poales; Poaceae
Description: partial small subunit ribosomal RNA
Source: RNAcentral
AUGGUAUAUGGAUAUGGAAAAUAUAAGAUUUCCGAUCCUAGCGGGAAAAGGCGGGGAACAGAUACCCAAUAGGAUCCUUGGGAGGAACUUUUGGUAAUGGCCUUGAUCCUCUAUGCUAUUUUUUAUUUGUUCUUAGUUCUAUUGAACUUUUUUCAUUCUUUUAAACAAGAAUCUAAUAAACUAGAAUUGAGUGGAAAAAAGGAGAGGAAAGUGUUAAAUGGAGAGAGUCGACUAAUCAGAGACUUUUAGGAUCUUCUUUACAUCAGGUAA